This 255-nucleotide long non-coding RNA is filed under the name Mytilus galloprovincialis (Mediterranean mussel). The record is from RNAcentral. Lineage: Eukaryota; Metazoa; Mollusca; Bivalvia; Mytilida; Mytilidae.
CUAUUAAUAAAAUUGCUUGUUUUACAUUUAUGAUUGGUUUUAAGAUUUUUAUAGACUAUUCAGUGAAUUUGAUGCUAUGACAAUGUUUCAUGUCUUUCCUUUAUAGAUUUCUGAUUCCAAUUGACAGCAAUAACUCCUAGAAAUUAGUAAAACAUGUCCAUUUCUGAAGGCUGUUAAAUGCGAAUCUUUUUUUUUCCAAUUUUUGCUGUUUUGUUUUUGUCUGUCUCAUUGUGUUGGCUAGAAAGUUAAAGUGUG